UACAGAGGUGGCGAGCGUUAUUCGGAAUUAUUGGGCGUAAAGGGCGCGUAGGCGGCCAAGCAAGUCCUGGGUGAAAUCCCUCGGCUCAACCGAGGAACUGCCUCGGAAACUGCAUGGCUUGAGGCCGGGAGAGGGUAGCGGAAUUCCCAGUGUAGCGGUGAAAUGCGUAGAUAUUGGGAGGAACACCGGUGGCGAAGGCGGCUACCUGGACCGGUUCUGACGCUGAUGCGCGAAAGCGUGGGGAGCAAACAGG
RNAcentral lists this ribosomal RNA (253 nucleotides) under uncultured bacterium. RNAcentral describes it as "partial 16S ribosomal RNA". It matches the Rfam family "Bacterial small subunit ribosomal RNA", at positions 524 to 776 of the family's 1533-position model. The record is from RNAcentral.